UUCAGGGCCCAAACUUUCUAAUGGAGUCCAAUGGAAUAAUAUGAAAAAGGAGGUUGGAGUUAUGGUCCAUGGGUGCGAAUAAGAAACUUGGGCCUCAGACUCAAGCGUGAGAGACCCAAUGGUGAACCCAACCCAUGGGUAGUCAAAACUCCAAUUCAGCAGCCAUGUUCAAUCCUUCAACCAUCUCCAUGUGCUUCCUCCGAUUCCUUCGACAAACACCCAAACACAGACUCCACAGCGAAGAACGAAAGUAACAAAUUCUCCAAUCCCUAAAAUCGUCCUAUUCGAAGCAACUCGAAUCAACAUCCACCGUGCGCGUCACGUUCAAGCAUCUCGAUUCGGCGGAAGAAUCACCAAAACCGAAUUGUGAACGGAUGACAAAUCUUAUCCAUUCUCUGCUUCAAUCUUUCCUUCUUCUUCUCCAAACCGUCGAGACCGUGUGCACCUCACUUGGAGUUCAUGAAUUAUUCCGUGAUCGGAGACACAAUCUGGUAUUGCAACACGGAAGAAUCAUUGGUUGGCAGAAAGAGAGCAAAUGAAGGCUAAGUGGAUUGGAAUCCGAUGCGGUGGCUCGGGUGUCAUCAACGAUAUUCGCAUGUGAUUCUCCUCUUUUCCGGUGUUGCUUUGAUUCAACGAGCACCUUGUCUCGGAGUUCUCAAAUCCACGAAUCUCCUUGGCUUAGUCGAGAAUCUUGAAGCCCCGAAACGAACCUGAAAUUCGAUUACGAACAGGUACGAUCCUCCACUUUUGAUUCGAUUUGCUUCUCUCUUCUUUCAAUUUGCUUCGAGUUGAUUCUACUAUGGCAUUUGUUUUGCGCGAUGUUGUUGUGGAUGUGAGGUCGCGGUUGCAAUGUUGGGAGCAAAUUCUCGGUUGACUGUCGAAUGUGAAGCAGAAGGAGGAAGAUUGAAGAGUGAAACAGAAUGGAGGUUGAACAUAGUGAAGCUUGAACCGAAUGAGGAUUGAAGGUAUUGAGUUCUUGAAGAGGAAGCUUGGGGCUUGAAGAAGAUGAGGGUGAAGAAUGUGACUUGCAAAAAAAUGAAGAAUCUCCUGAGAAUGAGAUUGGUAAGGUCUAUAUAUAGACUUCUCUCCCUCAAUUCUGUUAGAGAUGGUGAGCUGUUAGUUAUUUUGUUAUGAGUCAGUUUUUUUUUCUGUUGGAAUUGGUUAGUUACAACUUCUGUUGGUUGGUUAGGAAGUUCGUUGUUAUAGUUAUUGAAUGUUAGACUGUUAGUAUAUAAGAUGAACUUGUUGGAAUAGUUUGGAAAUUGACAAUUUUGCAUUGCCAUUAAAACUAGUGUUACCAUGUUAUCAUGUUGUAACUAUUAGUUAACAAAUGAUUGUAACUAUUAGUUAUCACAUGUGAAUAUCGUUGAUGACACCCGAGGAGAAUCACAUGCGAAUAUCGUUGAUGACACCCGAGGAGAAUCACAUAACCGGAAAAGAGGAGAAUCACAUGCGAACAUCGUUGAUGACACCCGAGCCACCGCAUCGGAUUCCAAUCCACUUGGCCUUCAUUUGCUCUCUUUCUGCCAACCAAUGAUUCUUCCGUGUUGCAAUACCAGAUUGUGUCUCCGAUCACGGAAUAAUUCAUGAACUCCAAGUGAGGUGCAUACGGUUGUUAUGCAUUAAUAAAAGUGAUGAUAUCGUUCAUAUGAAAUGCUGCAGAAUGGUGAUAUAUUGGCUAAUGUGACUUGGUCAGACUGAUGAAGAUUGGAUGGUUUGAGUCUUGAUGGUUAAGUAGUUUUGACUUGAUGUUUUGUUGGAUUUUCAUGGCAUUUAUCCUGACUUAGUCUGGCAGCAUAUGUCUAUUACAGUUCUGUGCGCUUCAGUUGCUGCAGGGUUUAUAUUCUUGGUUUUGCUUGGCUGCUACAUGAUUGAAGCCAUGUGGUGUAAAGGAUACUACUUUGGACCGUAUGCAAUGUUGUAGGUAUGUCCAAGUCCUGAUGGUUACCAGGUUAAGGUUUUGCAGCUUUUGUCUUGGUCGAAGCAUGGAGCCUUGGCCUUGAAGUGCAUUGUGUAUCGUUCUGACCAUGUGUAGCUCUGUUUUAGAUUGCUAGGCUUGCAUUGUUACUGCAUGAUGUGUGACCUAUUACCUUGUGUAUUGUUUUUCUUGAACAUGUGAAUGAUUGGCUUUGUAGGAUAGCAUGCACACAAGUGACUUCAAGGCUUGACAAAAUUGAAUUGAAAAAAAAAGAUGCAAGUAAGUUAAGAAUCACAUACCUUUUUAGGGUUUAGGAUGUAAGAUGGGGUUGGUUGACUUUGGUAAACUGGUUGACCAAAAAAUCAACUGUUGACCAAAAAGUCAAGUUUUGUAAAAAUUGCAUUUUUAUUUUCUUUUGUAAUGGACUAUGUAAAUGCUUAUUUUCAUGAAUGAAAUGACUUUAUUUGAAUAGAA
Long non-coding RNA from Lathyrus oleraceus (garden pea), 2392 nucleotides. RefSeq lists it as uncharacterized. The record is from RefSeq and is a predicted model, not a curated record. Lineage: Eukaryota; Viridiplantae; Streptophyta; Magnoliopsida; Fabales; Fabaceae. The transcript is spliced from 2 exons.